CGCCGAAAGGAGCAGCGGCAGCAGCGGGAGGGCAAAAGCAAAGCAAAACAAAGAUGCUGCCUCCGGGUCGGCGCUGGAAGAAGGCCGGUGCGCGGCGUCUAACCCGUGCCCCCGUCCGCGGUUUGUGGACCUGUGGGCAGGACGCGGAGCAGCACUCCAGAAGGCUGGUUUAUAAAAAAGGAGAAGAUAGAGAAUUUCAUCCAAGAAUUCCCAGCUGGAGACAUCUGUUCAGCAGCAAGUCACCUGAUGAACAGUUCUAACCAGCCAAGUGUGAGUUAUUUUUAUUGGUUCAGUGUUUUUAAAAUAGCUAUUUUUUUUUCUUUUAAUUGAUACCUUACUAGACACUUCAGUAGAUUCCUAAAACAGUUUUCAUACACUUGGAUUUAUUUCUCCUGAAGGAUUAGCACAGCCCAAACCGAGUGAUCCAUUCCCAAACUGAGCUGGCUGGCUGAAACCAGUAGGAACCAGUUAAACGCUUGAAAUGAGGGUUUCCACCAGGGUAAUCAAGUUUCCCAAGAGGUGAUGGAUUUGAUGUAUAGCCUGUCACGAUGAGUUGCAGGCUCUCAGCACCUCUGGAAAUCAGGUCGUAGCAGCUUUCAGCAAAUCUGAGGAGACGGGGUGCGCACACGUGCGAGCCAGUGCAAGCCGCAGAUGGGGCGCGCGUCUUCAUCGAUCUCAAAAGGGAGGUUGAGCUGUUCUGGCUCGAAUCACACGCUUUGGCGUGUUAGUUAG
Molecule: long non-coding RNA, 732 nt
Filed under: Anser brachyrhynchus (Pink-footed goose)
Lineage: Eukaryota; Metazoa; Chordata; Aves; Anseriformes; Anatidae
Description: lncRNA (ENSABRG00000003414.1)
Source: RNAcentral